AGCAGCCGCGGUAAUUCCAGCUCCAAUAGCGUAUAUUAAAGUUGUUGCAGUUAAAAAGCUCGUAGUUGAAUUUCGGGGUCAGCAGGUUGGUCGUGCCACUGGUAUGCACUGGCUUCGCUGAUUCCUCCUCUCUGAAGAACUGUAAUGUCAUUAAUUUGGUGUUGCAGGGAAACAGGACUGUUACUUUGAAAAAAUUAGAGUGUUUAAAGCAGGCUAACGCUUGAAUACAUUAG
RNAcentral lists this ribosomal RNA (233 nucleotides) under uncultured Glomus. Its description in RNAcentral is "partial 18S ribosomal RNA". It matches the Rfam family "Eukaryotic small subunit ribosomal RNA", at positions 569 to 807 of the family's 1831-position model. The record is from RNAcentral. Lineage: Eukaryota; Fungi; Glomeromycota; Glomeromycetes; Glomerales; Glomeraceae.